GAUCAAGCAGAGUGGUUUCCCAGGUCUGGACUCGCAAUCAUCAAUCAAGUCGGCUACUCAAGAUAAGAACAAAGAAAGUUUGGUUCAAAAUGGCAAUGCACAACAAGGGGAGAAAAAUGCUUUUGUACACAAUAACAUGAAAACAAACCCCCUACAGAGUGAGAAACAAAGAGUAACCGGGGUAUCAACAUCAGUCAAGG
This is a long non-coding RNA of Lolium perenne, 200 nucleotides long. RefSeq lists it as uncharacterized. The record is from RefSeq and is a predicted model, not a curated record. Lineage: Eukaryota; Viridiplantae; Streptophyta; Magnoliopsida; Poales; Poaceae.